Notolabrus celidotus (New Zealand spotty) is the source of this 1491-nucleotide long non-coding RNA. RefSeq lists it as uncharacterized. Lineage: Eukaryota; Metazoa; Chordata; Actinopteri; Labriformes; Labridae. The record is from RefSeq and is a predicted model, not a curated record. The transcript is spliced from 3 exons.
UUAACAUAUUUAUGCGCACGUGCAACUCACCAAAGAGGGAAUUUGCGAAGCCGUACCACUUGCAGCCGUACUCUCCGAUGAGCCAUCUACCCUGCAGACUCGCAGCGAAACUGAAGGGUGUCCCGAAAACGCACACAAGGAUGUCGCUCAAGCUGAUGUUCAACAGGAUGAGGUUGAUGGGCGUCCAGAGCGAGCGAAACUUUGCGAACACAAGGAGCGCAAAGAAGUUGCCAAGGCUUCCCGCCACGAGAAUGAAGCCAAGGCAUGCUGCCACCACCGUGUGUCCGUUGCGGCUCAGCCCGCCGGAAGGGCUUUGGGGCGCCGGGGUGUCCCGCAGGUUGGAGUCGAUACCGAGGCUGAAGCUGGAGAGAGAGCUGUCUAUGGUGCUGAUGUUACAACCGCUCGUGUGGAUGACCAUAGCAGAGAGAGAGAUGAGAGCAGAGGGCUGAAGAGGAGCUGGACUCGGUGUGAAGGACAAAAUCCUGUACGGCAGUACUACGUGAGCACCACGCGCUGCUGAUUCUGUGUGUAGCUGCAGAUUGCUGAUUUGAUCCAGCAACAAAGGAACCAAACAAAUACGGAAACCUCUUCAACAUUUUAUUUCUGCAAAGCCUCCAAAACAAAGGAAGAAGGUCAGGGAUCAGGGAUAUCUCAACGGUGUUAUGUUUUACUGCCAUCAGUACUACACAUCAGUCUUCCAAAAAUAGAAAGAAUCAAAGAGAGCUGAAGUUGAGUGAAAUUCUUGUUGGAAGUCCAUCUAUCCAUCCAUUCAUUCUUUCCUCCCUCCAUCCACCCAUCCAUCCAUCAAUUUUCUUACUGCUCCACAUAAGGGGUUGGAGGGCUGGAGCCAAUCCCAUCUGUCACAGGGCAGACACUCAUACCUAUGGGAACCUACUUGCUGUUGUGCAAUAGUGCCAACCAAUGUAUCAUCAUGUAGCCAUAUAGAAGUCUAAGUAUCUUAAGUUCACUGUCAACAUCUGCUGAAAAUGUGUGAAUGAUGUUUUCAAAGCAAAAGCCCCCAGUCAUCCAAAACUCAUAGGCAAACUCACUUAGGACUCCUCUGGGGACACUGCACUGUUCACUUUCAAAUCCACAAAAGCCAACUCUAUUGUGUCUGGUUUUCGUUGUCAAAUACCUAAAAAAAGAAAAAACGUGAGGGAGCAAGAAAAGAAACUGUCCAACCUCUCCCACCCAAGUGCAUUUUCUUUCAGCUCACACAUCAGUUUAAUCCCCCUCCCUGACCUAAAAAAAAGAAAACUCUCUGCAUCUGUUCAUCCUUUCAACUUAUAUAGUUCUUUGACAUGCAGUAUUUAUAUCUCAAUACAUGUAUUAACAUAGUUUCAUUCGCAGAGUUUUCAACCUGUAAUAUUUGUUCUGACAAAGUCUACGAUGUGUUACCAUUGUAUUUGAAAACUGACUGUAUAAUUCAUUGGAUAUAAAAGACAAAGGGAUAUUUAGAUGCUUAAACUCCAGUGAUCUAAAGAAAUCAUA